GUGAGGAAUUUUCCGCAAUGGGCGAAAGCCUGACGGAGCAAUGCCGCGUGAAGGAUGAAGGCCUAUGGGUUGUAAACUUCUUUUCUCAGAAAAGAAUUAUGACGGUAUCUGAGGAAUAAGCAUCGGUUAACUCUGUGCCAGCAGCCGCGGUAAGACAGAGGAUGCAAGCGUUAUCCGGAAUGAUUGGGCGUAAAGCGUCUGUAGGUUGUUUAAAAAGUAUUCUGUCAAAGAUUAGGGCUUAACCCUAGAUAGGCAGAAUAAACUUUUAAGCUAGAGUUUGGUAGAGGCAGAGGGAAUUCCCGGUGGAGCGGUGAAAUGCGUAGAUAUCGGGAGGAACACCAAAGGCGAAGGCACUCUGCUGGGCCAAUACUAACACUGAGAGACGAAAGCGAGGGGAGCAAAUGGGAUUAGAUACCCCUGUAGUCC
RNAcentral lists this ribosomal RNA (426 nucleotides) under uncultured bacterium. RNAcentral describes it as "partial 16S ribosomal RNA". It matches the Rfam family "Bacterial small subunit ribosomal RNA", at positions 354 to 796 of the family's 1533-position model. The record is from RNAcentral.